GGGGAUGUAGCUCAGUGGUAGAGCGCAUGCUUUGCAUGUAUGAGGCCCCGGGUUCGAAAUCCGGCAUCUCCA
Molecule: transfer RNA, 72 nt
Filed under: Saccoglossus kowalevskii
Lineage: Eukaryota; Metazoa; Hemichordata; Enteropneusta; Harrimaniidae
Description: tRNA-Ala
Rfam family: tRNA
About the family: Transfer RNA (tRNA) molecules are approximately 80 nucleotides in length. Their secondary structure includes four short double-helical elements and three loops (D, anti-codon, and T loops).
Source: RNAcentral